GAUGAAGAACGUAGCGAAAUGCGAUAAGUAAUGUGAAUUGCAGAAUUCAGUGAAUCAUCGAAUCUUUGAACGCACAUUGCGCCCGCUAGUAUUCUGGCGGGCAUGCCUGUCCGAGCGUCAUUUCAACCCUCAAGCCCCCGGGCUUGGUGUUGGGGAUCGGCGAGCCUCCGCGCCCCCCGUCCCCUAAAUCUAGUGGCGGUCUCGCUGUAGCUUCCUCUGCGUAGUAGCACACCUCGCACUGGGAAACAGCGCGGCCACGCCGUUAAACCCCCAACUUCUGAACGUUUGACCUCGGAUCAGGUAGGAAUACCCGCUGAACUUAAGCAUAUCAAUAAGCGGAGGA
RNAcentral lists this unclassified non-coding RNA (343 nucleotides) under soil metagenome. RNAcentral describes it as "partial contains 5.8S ribosomal RNA, internal transcribed spacer 2, and large subunit ribosomal RNA". The stretch from base 1 to 120 matches the Rfam family "5.8S ribosomal RNA", at positions 35 to 154 of the family's 154-position model. The record is from RNAcentral.